AGAACGAACGCUGGCGGCAGGCCUAACACAUGCAAGUCGAGCGCUGUAGCAAUACAGAGCGGCGCACGGGUGAGUAACACGUGGGAACGUGCCUUUCGGUUCGGAAUAACUCAGGGAAACUUGAGCUAAUACCGGAUACGCCCCUUGGGGGAAAGAUUCAUCGCCGAAAGAGCGGCCCGCGUCCGAUUAGCUUGUUGGUGAGGUAAAAGCUCACCAAGGCAACGAUCGGUAGCUGGUUUGAGAGAACGACCAGCCACACUGGGACUGAGACACGGCCCAGACUCCUACGGGAGGCAGCAGUGGGGAAUCUUGGACAAUGGGGGAAACCCUGAUCCAGCCAUGCCGCGUGAGUGAUGAGGCCUUAGGGUUGUAAACUCUUUCGCGCACGACGAUAAUGACGGUAGUGCGAGAAGAGCUCCGGCUAACUCGCGCCAGCAGCCGC
This 442-nucleotide ribosomal RNA is filed under the name uncultured bacterium. RNAcentral's name for it is "SSU rRNA". It matches the Rfam family "Bacterial small subunit ribosomal RNA", at positions 26 to 518 of the family's 1533-position model. The record is from RNAcentral.